Molecule: non-coding RNA, 382 nt
Organism: Miniopterus natalensis
Lineage: Eukaryota; Metazoa; Chordata; Mammalia; Chiroptera; Miniopteridae
Source: RefSeq, a predicted model, not a curated record
UCCUCACAUAGCUGAGACCCAAGGUUCCGGGUUCGAUCCCCAAUCAGAAUCAUACAAGAAUCAACCAAUGAAUGCAUAAUCAUCAGUAGCACUAUUUGUAAAUAGAUUGGACUCAAUGGAAUCUGUCUUACCUCAUGAAUAUAAUAUAAAAUGCUGUCCCUUGGAUUGAAGAAACAAGACAGUGUUGUUCAGUUCAGCUGCCAAUAAGGAAUUUUUAGUUUUCUAUUAACAAGACAGAAACAUGUAUAAAAGUUUGUGUAAUAUCUUAUGGUGCAGCAAAUCAAGACGAAAAGUAAAAGCUGGCUUCUUUUUUGGAAGAAGGGAAUGCAGCUGAAUUAUCAACCUCACUGAUAGGUUUGACAUCUGAAAGAACAUGACUUAA